GGCCAGACUCCUACGGGAGGCAGCAGUGGGGAAUAUUGCACAAUGGGGGAAACCCUGAUGCAGCGACGCCGCGUGAGCGAAGAAGUAUUUCGGUAUGUAAAGCUCUAUCAGCAGGGAAGAAAUUGACGGUACCUGAGUAAGAAGCUCCGGCUAAAUACGUGCCAGCAGCCGCGGUAAUAUGUAUGGAGCAAGCGUUAUCCGGAUUUACUGGGUGUAAAGGGAGCGUAGGCGGCCUGCCAAGUCUGAUGUGAAAUACCGGGGCUCAACCCCGGGGCUGCAUUGGAAACUGGCAGGCUGGAGUGUCGGAGAGGCAGGCGGAAUUCCUAGUGUAGCGGUGAAAUGCGUAGAUAUUAGGAGGAACACCAGUGGCGAAGGCGGCUUACUGGACAGUAACUGACGUUGAGGCUCGAAAGCGUGGGGAGCAAACAGGAUUAGAUACCCUUGUAC
RNAcentral lists this ribosomal RNA (447 nucleotides) under uncultured bacterium. Its description in RNAcentral is "partial 16S ribosomal RNA". It matches the Rfam family "Bacterial small subunit ribosomal RNA", at positions 329 to 793 of the family's 1533-position model. The record is from RNAcentral.